Molecule: long non-coding RNA, 1406 nt
Filed under: Ananas comosus (pineapple)
Lineage: Eukaryota; Viridiplantae; Streptophyta; Magnoliopsida; Poales; Bromeliaceae
Description: long non-coding RNA (ACOM_LNC042068)
Source: RNAcentral
GUGAGAGAAACUCUCCCUUUUCUCUCUCUAAAUAUCUCUCUCAUCUCUCUAUAUUUCUCGCCCAAAUUCGCGGCGUUGGUGGAGAUCGAGCUUGCGAACGCGUUGGAGGCGACGGAUUGAGCUUUCGUGCGCCCGUUGGAGCGACGUGUUUUCGUUGCGGCGUUCACAUUGGGGUAAGCUUUUGGGAUUUGGCUUAAUCCUUAGCUUUAAGAGUUCUAGUAGCCUCUAAUGAGCAUUCUUAGCAUGUUGCUCCAUUUAAUUUGGAUUAUUUGGAGGUUAUUUCAUGUUAGGGCUCAAAAAUGCUAAUUUUGAAAAUAUGAGGGUUUGAUCUAAUUUGACCCUCCGUAAACCUAAUUGCUAGGUCACUGAACGCGUUGGAAGCGACGAUUCGGUGAUUCGUCGAGCCGGUGCAAAGUUAUUAAAGAAACGGACGUUUAGGUUUCGUUUCCGCCUGGAGGGCCGAGGCGACGUCGUAAAAUCAUGGAAAUGGAUUUGAGGCAUCGUGGCACAUAACUAAAGACCUAUAAUUUUCGGGGCUGCGAAGCGGAGCACGGUUGAGGCGCAGUUGCAGUAUCGGGCCGUGCCGGAUACGGGUGCCGCGGGAGGCCGAUUGCAAGUGUCGACAAGCAAUCGGAACGCGAAUUAUGGUGGGUUGUGUUUACCGAAGCGACUAGGUCGCCCUUUUAUGUCUAAGAUGAUUAAGAAUCCACGUUGAUGCAUAUGAAUGUAAAUGAGGCAUAUAGAUGAUGCAUAUAAAUAUAAAUAAUGCAUGUUAAUAAUAUGAUGCAAAUGCUAAGUAGAUCCAUGUAAAAUGAUAUGUAUGUGUGUAUUUGGAAUAUAUGCUAGUUGCACUUAGCACUAUGAGUUCAUGCUAGAUAGUAAAUGCAUAUUGGCAUCAUAGAAUGUAUGCGAGAUGAAAUGUGGAUGUCUAUGGUAUUCGAUAUGACAAAUAGGAUGUCAGGUAGAUCGAGUGGCAUUAACCUAGUGUUAAUAAACAUAGGUCGAACAUAGAUGACAUUGAACCUAGUGUUGUUGAACCUAGGAUAAAUAACGAGUGGCAUUAAUCUAGUUGAUAGUAAACAAAAGAACAAGUGGCAUAUGUAAGUCAUAGUGUAUAUGAAACCUAUGGACUCUAUGAUGGUUGUAACCUUAGAGGAUAGGGUAUUCUCGUGACGAGGAUUGGAUCAUGCUCACGGUCUGUUUUAAAUCUUGUGAUGGAAGCCCCACACAAGUAGUGCGCUCCGGGGUUGGUCACGUGGUGCGCUCCGGAGUUGGUCACGUGGGAUUGCCUAUUUUGGGUCCCAAGGGAUUGCCUAUUUGGCCCCGCCAGACGGUCUCGGGUCCGUAGUGUGAGUUGAUUCUCCCUACGUGUCAAGAUGGCUAGUGAGCUGUAGGCGAGCCUUCGG